Anas platyrhynchos (mallard) is the source of this 1306-nucleotide non-coding RNA. Lineage: Eukaryota; Metazoa; Chordata; Aves; Anseriformes; Anatidae. The record is from RefSeq and is a predicted model, not a curated record.
AUAAAUAAAUAGGCCCACGUGCUCUGUCGGUAGUCGGGCUCUGCGUUACACAAGGCACUUCUGCGAGCGCAGGGCGCUGGGUGGUCCCUGCGUCAUUCGGCUGGAGAAAGUAAUUUGCAGGGAUAGAUCCGGAUCCGCUUCGUCUCAGUGGAGAUUAAACCCCCUUAAUUAACUCCUCAAGGGAUAUUGGAGAGGGCCUGCAGGGCUUUGUGGUAGCCAGCAGCCACCCACCAUUUGCAGAUUGGCACAGGCUCUCUGGCGUGCCCUGCUCCGUGGCUGUGCGUUGGCUGGGUGGGCCAACACAAGAACCUGGCAUCACUGAAGUUUCCUUUGAGUAAUGCUCCAAUGUCCUUAAAAAUGGCAAGUGAAGAGCAUUCAAGAGUUCUUUGUGCCACUACAGAGAGUUUUGGAAAUCAAACUUGUUGUUGGAGAAGACAGAGGGAUGUGGAGGCAUGCUUAACAUUGGCAUUAGUGGAAAUAUAGUUCAGAAGAAUCCACUUCGUCUCCCCCAGGCUCCUAACACAGCAUAAAAAAGCGCUUUAGAUCAUAGAAGAAGCAGCUAGAAGACUCAACUACAGGAAGAGCACCAGCUUUCUUCAAGGUCACUGCAAUAACAGGCUAUUAGUUGAAUUAUACACUGGAAUAAUAGUUCAAGAAAAGGAGAUAAAGGCAGCAAAUAACUUAAAAAUGAUAAGAAAAGCUACUCCUAUGCCCCCUCAAAACCUCAAAGUGUGAGAAAAUGAGGUGGCUGGUAAUGAAGUGAUUUGUAAGUGACCCUUCUUUCCCUGCCUCCCCUUUAGAAAGUAAUGAGGGAGCGGUUGUUAAAAGUAAAAUAAACCAGAGCGUGCUGGGAUUAAAUCUGCUCUCUGGAAGCAUUGGUGAGGUCUGGGGAGGAUGUUUUACUUUAGGGUAUUGAGGCUGAAUAGCCUGAACCUGCAGAGCGUGUCCCUGCUCCAUGGCGAGGGCUGUGGCAGACCACACCACGCAGAGCUGGACUGGGCUGCCGAGGGGCUCCCCACUCCCAGGAAUUUUAAUUUCACCGUACCCAGGUCUCACAGCCAUGUUUUAGCCCUGUGUUAUGCUCAGGUCUGCAGCACAGGGGUAGAUCUGUGCUGGCUCUGACACUGGAAACCCACACGGAUGCUGUUGCUCUCACCUGGACAGUUCUAGGAACGGACUAUAAAGAAAUCAUGCACGCUGUAAAAUGCUGGCUGAUGGCUCUGCACUGAUAAAUAAGCAUUAACAUACACAGCACUAAUAGGCAGAGGGUGUGCUUGGCAUUAAUCAAAUGAACUAAUGCUCUGCA